UCUUCAUUCUUCGCACUAUCUCACCGGUUAGAGAUGCGAGAGAGUGUGCAAAAAUGAGGAGA
RNAcentral lists this microRNA precursor (62 nucleotides) under Pristionchus pacificus. RNAcentral's name for it is "mir-8364 microRNA precursor family". It matches the Rfam family "mir-8364 microRNA precursor family". The record is from Rfam by way of RNAcentral. Lineage: Eukaryota; Metazoa; Nematoda; Chromadorea; Rhabditida; Neodiplogasteridae.